UACAGAGGUCUCAAGCGUUGUUCGGAUUCAUUGGGCGUAAAGGGCGCGUAGGUGGCGGGGUAAGUCAGGUGUGAAAUUUCGGAGCUUAACUCCGAAACUGCAUUUGAUACUGCCUUGCUUGAGGACUGGAGAGGAGACUGGAAUUCACGGUGUAGCAGUGAAAUGCGUAGAGAUCGUGAGGAAGACCAGUGGCGAAGGCGGGUCUCUGGACAGUUCCUGACACUGAGGCGCGAAAGCCAGGGGAGCAAACGGG
Molecule: ribosomal RNA, 253 nt
Filed under: uncultured bacterium
Lineage: Bacteria
Description: partial 16S ribosomal RNA
Rfam family: Bacterial small subunit ribosomal RNA
Source: RNAcentral